AGUAACUAUAAUACACAAUGGCAUAAGAGCUGUAAGAUGAAUGAAAAAUAUAUUAUAGGCUCACAGCGUGGUGAACAAUAAGUUUGGGGAAGUGAGUCCAUGUUUUAACUGGGCCUUAAAGGACAAGAGAGAUUUGUCUUUUUUUACUUCUGUUUUCUGUUGGGGCGGGGUGGUGGAGUUGCAAGGGCGCACAAAAGUCUGCAGUCCAAGGAGAGAUGUGAGAACUACCUCAGCCAAGUUGGAAAGGACUUCUCACAAGUUGCAGGUCCUUCUAGUUGUGGGAUGUGGGACACCGCCUCAACGUGGCCUGACGAGUGGUGCCAUGUCCACACCCAGGAUCCCAACCCUGGGCCGCCGCAGCGGAGGGCGCGAACUUAACCACUCGGCCACGGAGCCGGCCCCACGGGGCACUGUGGGGGCCUGGAAUUGGCCACCCCAACAUAUGUCUCUUUGGCAUGAUUAUUUGGCGCUGGUUACUUUGCAGACAGGAAAGCAACUGAAAAGUAGAAUUUACUUACCC
This 520-nucleotide long non-coding RNA is filed under the name Equus caballus (horse). RNAcentral describes it as "lncRNA (ENSECAG00000054882.1)". Lineage: Eukaryota; Metazoa; Chordata; Mammalia; Perissodactyla; Equidae. The record is from RNAcentral.